GGGCCAUUAGCUCAGCUGGUAGAGCAACAGACUCUUAAUCUGUGGGUCACAAGUUCGAACCUUGUAUGGCUCA
RNAcentral lists this transfer RNA (73 nucleotides) under Treponema sp. RNAcentral describes it as "tRNA-Lys". It matches the Rfam family "tRNA". Rfam says of the family: Transfer RNA (tRNA) molecules are approximately 80 nucleotides in length. RNAcentral also lists the same sequence under 1 other name. Lineage: Bacteria; Pseudomonadati; Spirochaetota; Spirochaetia; Treponematales; Treponemataceae. The record is from RNAcentral.